CAGCAGCCGCGGGAAUACGUAGGGUGCAAGCGUUGUCCGGAAUUAUUGGGCGUAAAGAGCUCGUAGGCGGUUUGUCGCGUCUGCUGUGAAAUCCCGAGGCUCAACCUCGGGCUUGCAGUGGGUACGGUCAGACUAGAGUGCGGUAGGGGAGAUUGGAAUUCCUGGUGUAGCGGUGGAAUGCGCAGAUAUCAGGAGGAACACCGAUGGCGAAGGCAGAUCUCUGGGCCGUAACUGACGCUGAGGAGCGAAAGCGUGGGGAGCGAACAGGAUUAGAUACCCCCGUAGUCCCUGUCUCUUAUAC
This 301-nucleotide ribosomal RNA is filed under the name uncultured bacterium. RNAcentral describes it as "partial 16S ribosomal RNA". It matches the Rfam family "Bacterial small subunit ribosomal RNA", at positions 509 to 807 of the family's 1533-position model. The record is from RNAcentral.